UUGGGGCCCCAAGUUUUUAUUUUCUUUUCAUAAAAGCAAUCAAGAAAAGACUUAAAGACAAGUGUAAUAAUGUUCAAAGAAGAACUUCAGGCGAAUUAAAUUUCACAGAGUUUAACUGAGCGAAGAACGAUUUACAAAUUGGGGAGCCUCCUGCGAAAGAGUAAGCUCUGAGACUCCAGUGCAGCCAUGUGGUGGAAGAAGAUUUAUGGACAGAAAAUGGAAAUGAGAUGACGUCACACAGUUCUGCUGACACCCUCCGUGAAAAUCAGAGCUGUGUGGAACUCACUCCAGCGCCCCCACCCUCAGCCGCUGCCUCGCGUCUCCCUGCCCAGGGCUCAGCCGCUGUGACAGACGCCCUGAGAUGUAGUGCACUCCAGGCUUCUGUCCUCGCAGACAAGCGCCAGACAGAGGGGACGGAGAUCUCAUUUCGGGUGGGACUCCGGAGCUUUUUCCAGAGCCAGACUGCUUGGUGGGGCCACUGCAGCAUUCUGGAAGGGUCCUUGAUUGAACAUUUUGUGGCAGGGUUUUUUUUGCCUGUCCUUUAUAAAGGCUGUGGUGCAACCCUUCAGGCACUUUCUUCUUGAAUAUGACUGGCACAGGGCCUGACACAUAAUCGUGCUCAAUAUCUUUCCUCUAUGAGGGAGGCACAAAAAAAAAAAAAAAAGAACUACAGGGGAAUUUUAGAAGAGAGAGACAACUGUGUAUGGCUGAAGUGAGAAUCCGAACUGUUUUGUGGAUGAGGCUGAUUAGAGGAAAAAAUAAAAGUGUAGGUUCAAUCCCUCAUUCACCAGACACCAUCA
Long non-coding RNA from Symphalangus syndactylus (siamang), 800 nucleotides. RefSeq lists it as uncharacterized. The record is from RefSeq and is a predicted model, not a curated record. NCBI's taxonomy places the organism in Eukaryota, Metazoa, Chordata, Mammalia, Primates, Hylobatidae.